This 441-nucleotide ribosomal RNA is filed under the name uncultured bacterium. RNAcentral describes it as "partial 16S ribosomal RNA". It matches the Rfam family "Bacterial small subunit ribosomal RNA", at positions 338 to 795 of the family's 1533-position model. The record is from RNAcentral.
CCUACGGGUGGCAGCAGUGGGGAAUAUUGGGCAAUGGAGGAAACUCUGACCCAGCAACGCCGCGUUAAGGAUGAAGGUUUUCGGAUUGUAAACCUCUGUCGCGAGGGAUGAAGAAUGACGGUACCUCGUACGAAAGCCCCGGCAAACUACGGGCCAGCAGCCGUGGUAAUACGUAGGGGGCGAGCGUUGUCCGGAAUGUCUGGGGGUAAAGGGAGUGUAGGCGGGAUAUUAAGUUCUGUGUGAAAGCCUGCGGCGCAACCGCGGAAUUGCCCGUAAAACUGGUAAGCUGGAGUGCAGGAGAGGUAAGUGGAAUUCCCGGUGUAGCGGUGGAAUGCGUAGAUAUCGGGAGGAACACCAGAGGCGAAGGCGACUUACUGGACUGUAACUGACGCUGAGGCUCGAAAGCGUGGGGAGCAAACAGGAUUAGAUACCCUUGUAGUC